RNAcentral lists this ribosomal RNA (243 nucleotides) under uncultured bacterium. Its description in RNAcentral is "partial 16S ribosomal RNA". It matches the Rfam family "Bacterial small subunit ribosomal RNA", at positions 524 to 768 of the family's 1533-position model. The record is from RNAcentral.
UACGAAGGGGGCUAGCGUUGUUCGGAAUCACUGGGCGUAAAGCGCACGUAGGCGGAUCUUUAAGUCAGGGGUGAAAUCCCGAGGCUCAACCUCGGAACUGCCUUUGAUACUGGGGAUCUCGAGUCCGGGAGAGGUGAGUGGAACUGCGAGUGUAGAGGUGAAAUUCGUAGAUAUUCGCAAGAACACCAGUGGCGAAGGCGCUCACUGGCCCGGACUGACGCUGAGGUGCGAAAGCGUGGGGAG